Long non-coding RNA from Astyanax mexicanus (Mexican tetra), 867 nucleotides. RefSeq lists it as uncharacterized. Lineage: Eukaryota; Metazoa; Chordata; Actinopteri; Characiformes; Acestrorhamphidae. The record is from RefSeq and is a predicted model, not a curated record. The transcript has 3 exons.
UUAACUUAGCUAGCUAGCUAGUCUGGAGAGCGUUUUUAGCGGGUAAAUUGCUAACGUGGGGGCUCAGUGUGUGGAUAAGGACUGGGGAUAAUAUAGUUAGCUAACCUUGCUAGUUUUGUUUUGUAUUUGUUCAAAAUUUAACUUCCCUGUUGACCAUAUUUUUAGAUCCACUUAGCGAUUUAGUUAUUUCACACUGUUUUGAGUUGUGCACUUGUUCAUUUAAAUAUCAAAGAGGAGUUCCAGCGCAUAACUAACCUUACUUUGCAUCUGGAGUCAAAAUUCAUGUUAAAGCUUGACCAGUAUACGUUACACAAAAACUUCUCUAUCUUCAGUGCCAAGGCCGGAGCGUCAGGAAGAAGAAUGCAAGGCAUAAUGAGCUGUUUGGUCAAGGGAGCAGUCACCACUGAGCCUGGUGGAGUAUGUGGGGGGAACAUGGCCUGCUCGCAGAACACUUUGAUGAGGGUGAGGUCAAUAUUUCACAGCACAUCAUGAAGAUCUUCACAGUGAAGGAAGAGGGUGCAACAGAGGAUGAAGGUACUGUCUUUGAGGGUCAAGAGGUACUGGCUGGUCUUGGAAAUGUCCCACAGGCAUGUGCUGCACUUCUGGGGUUCAUAUAUGCCUUGAAUUUGCAGUACCCUAAACCACUGACAUACACAUUGGAAGUGUUUCAGAAGCUUUUUAUGGAACAGGAUGGACUGAAACUUUCUCCCAAGGUGCUGUCUCUUAAAACAACAGCUAUUAAUUAAGCCUUGCUACCUCGAAUAGGCUUGAAGGAGAACGCUGGUGUAAAGUUGACUUGGUGUAAUAAAACAUGAUAAUUUUUUUUUUACUAAAACCUGCCAAUAAAUGCAAAAGUGGUUAAAAGUC